UAUUAAAGGGAGAUAAAAAGAUGCAUCUGACUGUGGAUUUCAGAGCAUUAAAUGCUGUAACUCCGCAAACAUCACCUCUUCUUGUUGAAAUGCCAGAAAUUAUGGCUGUAAUAGUACAAGGAGAUAAGUGGUUUUCAGUCAUAGAUCUAGCAAAUGCAUUCUUCUUCAGCCCCCUGGAAAAGAAGUGUUGGUAAAUGCUUGUUUUUACAUUUUAGGAGAAACAAAAUAGUUCCACAUGAGUUCUUCAAGUAUUCACAAGGUCCUGUGAUCUUUCAUCUGUGCAUCAUUCAAAUGUGGGAGAAAUUAGCCUGCACAUCCAGGAAACAUGUCUCAUCAUAUAUGGAUCAUGGCCAAAUCUGGGGGAUUCUGAGAAACAACUGUGUCAGCAAACAGGAAGUUUUGGCUGCAAUCCAACAGGAAGGAUUGAAAGUCAAUACACAAAAAGUUCAGUUAGUACAACAAGAGCUUUCAACAUCCUCAAAGGCAUCUAAUUGUUCAGGACAUACUGAGUAUCUGCACUUACAGAAAUCAAGCCUCAAGUGGAACUCCCCUGAAAGCAAGGCACCAGGAAGCCAAGAUUAGUUUUCAGAAAUUACCAUCACAGAUGGCUUCCUGCAAUACAAAGAAGGCUCCUGGCAAGGCAGUUUGCUGGAUAACAUUCGAAUUGGAUGUGAUGGAAGUAUAACCUUACAGAAACACUCAUUCACCAGCAUUUAUUUCAUUGUGUUCAGUAGCUACUUUUGCACUGGCACUGCUUUCCUCAUUCUGCACUCACAUACUAAUUUCUCUUGCAUGAAUCUUGUCUAACAGUUGUCUGCAACUGGGUGGUCUCUGUGAGAAGUGGUAAUGCUGCAGUUAGCGAGGAAAAAUGUUGUUAUAUAUAUAUUAUUUUUUAUUUUAUUUUUUUCUGGUUGAGUGGAGGAGCUGCUGCAAUGGGAUCAGGGGCUCUCUGGCUAUGUCUGCAGGAGGCAUGGGCAGUGGCGUGGGCAGCAGCAGAGGACCCUCCCUGUGCUCUGGGCACCUUAUUGCUAGGGAGAGGAUGCACACAGCUUAAUUUUCUAUAAAUCCCUUGCAUUUAUGCUGUGUGGGAUGCAAAUGUUUUUCUAGAAAGAGCCUAAAAUCAAAUUGUUUGUAUAAUAUUGGCCACACAAUAUUGCAGCUAAGUAGAAUGAGAUGCAUAGCAGGGGACUUCUUAAUGCAUCAGAUUUGAAAAUAUAUGUAAGUCUUGGCCUAGUCCAGGUUCCCAAAAAGUCAUUGUGGAUUCAGGAUGAGUUGCAGUUCAAGCGGAGGGGCUGGCCAGUCAUUAAAGUACUUCAUUCAGGUACUCUGGCUCCUUCUCCCAGACCUUUGAAGGUAUUUUAAUAUCCAUAGCACUUUAAGUGUCUUUACCAAACUUGUCAUUAGUUACCAGCAUCUCUUGAAAGGAAAAAAGAAUUUGUGGCAGUAAAAGAGCAUGGCCUUCCUGGUGAUAUUUUCUUACAUUGGAAACUGGUGUAUGAUAAUGAGCUGAGUUGCAAGUCUCGGAGUUACAGUUUUUCAUAGCAGCUCUCAUCACUCCUCGUUUGCCCAGUUCUGCCGGUCUUGCUUGCACAGAUACCAUAGUCCUGUGGAGCACCCUUGAGCAUGCAAGAUGGCUGUUUCAUGGAGAAGAUAAGUUCUGAAAGUCCAGUGAUGGUUGUACAUGCUGGCGAGCAGUAUUCACAUAUUAACAGAUUUCCACUUAAACUGGCAAAUAGGAAUGUCUAUGUUAGAAAUGCUGUGUGAAAGCUAAGGCAACAAAAGUCAAAAUGUGCAUAUGAGAAUAUGUGGUACACACAGUAUAUGUCACAAUGUUUACCAUCACUUCAAAACAUGCACCCACCCACAGUUCUUCACUAGCAGUAUCCUGGAACUUCUCCAAUUGGGAUUAGCUAUAUGCAGCAAAAGUCAAUUAAAAUCAGCCAUUAUUGUACAGAUCAUGAGAUCCAUAGUGCAAGAUACCAUGCUCAUCCCAGAUGCUCAUUAAUAGCAGUGUGUUGCAAACAAGUCCUGGGACAAUUGCAUGGGUUUUGUAUAGUUUUCUGAUUGCCUUAUUUGCUCAGUUAGCAUACAGCAUUUUCAAAUGGGUUGGAUUAAAAUUUUUAGCAAAUAGCAAAUUCCCCAGAAACACAGUCUGUUGCAUCCUGGAACUAGUGCAAAUGUAGGUCAGAGUCAGUAAAUUGGUUUAGCUAAUGAAAACAGAGAGGGGCAGAAAGAUUUGGGGAAAGAGGAAUUACGUCCACCUUGCUUGCUGGAGGAAGACCUGUUAGUGCUAGCUCACUCAGCUUCUUUUAACAAGGGGCCUGCUGCUGUACAAGACAUGGUGACUCAUAUCUGCAUCAUAUUUGUCCUACAUUUUUAGUUUGUACAGCAACCACCUGCUAAAAGAGUGGUGUGCUUGUUUGGGCUCCCUCAAUCUCUUGUGAAGCUCUUCCAUGUAGUUAAGAAAAUGUGAUUUUUAUGGGAGGUAAGGUGUGUAGGCUUGUGUACAGGAGCUCACAUAACUCUACUACUCUAAGAGUCCAGUUCAUGCCACACUUUUAUUUAAAAUGGUAUUUACUGGCCCAGUUCAGAGUAACCUGCACAAAAAUGUCCUUGAGCUGAGAUCAUUCUCCAGUGUGGGUGGAGACUUUGGUCCUUCAGGGAGAGCCAAACACAAGCAUGUAUCUCACAGCCCCCUGGUAAGGGCUCACCAGAAUUACAGACCAGCAGUGAUUCUAGCCCAUGGAAGAUCACAAACAGCUUUUGUAUUGAAAAUAAUAAUAAUAAUAAUAAUAAUAAUAAUAAUAAUAAUAAUAAUAAUAAUAACAACAUGAAACAAAGGUAUUUGUUUUAGAAAAAGUUUUCCCCACCCAUACAUGUACACAUGACACUCAUUUUUAGGGCUUAUUUAUAAAAAACAAUAAUAAUCUGUAAUAAGCACAAUUUUAUUUACAAUUAGCAGGAAUAAGUUGCUUGCUUUAAUGCCAAUGCUAGUAGCAAUGGAAGUGUACUUCUUUUUUUCUUCUUAUACUGCCUUUUUACAUUUAGUUUCAAGGUGAGAUCAGUAUCUGGAACCAUGAUGCAAUUUAUGCUGUUAUCAUUUCAUGAACUUCAGCAAAUCUGCUCCUGAUAAUGUAUUAUAAUAAUACUGAUGAUCAGAACUGGAUUUGAAAAUUCAUGAAGACUGACGUCAACUGCCACUGUCUGACCAGAUCAGAAAAUGAAAACAACUGGUUACUGGCAUCUAUUGUCAGAGGAGCUCCAACUCAAUUUUGCGCACAGUACCCCUUUAAAAGAAGCUUCCCUACUUUAAAGCCAAAUGCACUCCUCCCUGCUGUGAUGGAUUCCUUCUUUUUCCUUCCUAAUUGGAGCCAUUUCAUCAGAUCGAAUUUUGACAAAGAUAGUAAUUGUCAUCCAAUUUUAAGGCAAUGACAAGAUCAAUAUGAAUUCUCAAAUGACAAGUAUUAUUACUGGCCGAACACAAAGAAACAAAGAAAAUGAAAAAUCCAUGUUCUAGAGAUCAAAACAGUUUGAUGCACAAGCUUGCCUUGAUCCACGUGUGUGUGAAUCCUGUUGACAACAAUAGACACUGUGCAUGUGGAUGGAUGGGGUAGAACAGAUGGCCUUUGCCAGUCAAAUAGCGAAUGAAAACGAGCACCCAGUGCUUUAGUACAUUGCAGUUUCAGUAAUGUGGGAGUCAAUUAACUUACCACCAAAUAGGCUUGCGGGGAAAAUUACCCACAGCCCCAUCUCAGAGAAUUCUGCUUCUCCUUAGCAUUUUGUACUCCUUCAGCUUCCUGAAUAUCAGAAGUAAAUACUCAAGAAAAUCCCAGUUCUUUAAGGUGAAUAUAUUCAAUAUAUAUUUAUGGAGGCAGAAGUACUUGUUUAUUUUUAUAACAUUGUUUACGUGAGAUGAUUUGAUUAGUUAAUGGCCCAAAGAGUUCAGAUAGGACUCAGUUAAGGAUCUAAAAUGUGCUGCAGCAUCUUUAGAUAUUUUCCCACGGUAGUGGUUUUGGGACAGAUUCUGGCAUUUAUGCAUAAUUGUUGCCAGAUACUGUCAUUUUAUUUACCCUGGAACAAGAAACUUCUCCAAGGCAUUUGACCCUCAGAGCUCAGCUCUUGUUCCACAUUUUCUACUCAGUGUGCAUUCAAGUUACCUCCGUAGGGCUGCUAUACAUGCAUUCAUCUCUCUAGUAAACCAGACCUUCUGCUUUCCCACCCCCAAAACAUUAAAUCAAAGGAAAUAGACACUUUUCUUUUCUUUUGCAGUAUUUAUAUUCAAAAUACAGUUUAACUGGGGAAAGGGAUUUUGGCAAAAUAAUACAUGACUGUCGUACUAAUUGGCAGCUGCAAUGAUAACAACCAUGACAAGUUUUAACUCUGUCCAGUUCAACCCAGCCAAGUCAUUAAAGGUUUCCAAGCAGAGGAUUGUGUUAUGAAGCCUAAUAGACGCUGGUAGCUACAUCGGCAUCCCUGAAUUGCUAAACACAUUUUUAACCACCAUAUGCAGGUUCAGUAGGAUUUUGAUCCAUGGAGGAAGGUCUUAGCCAAGCACUGAAAAGAUGUUCGUUAGCCUCCAAAAUAUAAAUAAAAUAUUUACAAAGAGAAUAAUUGACUUUUGAUGUUUACUUCAGGCUAUGGUUAAGCAGGCAGUGUCUGUACUAAGCAAUGCAGUGACCACCUGCCACAAAUGCUGUGAUAUUUGACAGAUCCCUUUCUGCCAAGAACUAUAAUUCCUAUUUAAAUCUAAAUAGAGGAGCCAUGAAUGCAGAUUUCUCAUCACAAAGACGCUGAUGUUAAUCCCCAGUACAGAAAAAUAAGAAAAGCCAGAACGUUUUAUUGGAUUUUAUAUGGAAGAUAAUUAAACAGUAUUUCUUCUUUACUUGUUAUACAGCAUACCAUCAACAUUCCUGCUGAAAUUUGUUUAUAAAAAAAAAAAAAAAAGCCAGAAACUUUUAUUCCAUUUAUAUGUAAAAAAAAAAAAAAUUAACAAUUUGUAUAUUUGCACUUACAUCAGAAUAACAAAAAGCAGGUAAACAAAAAUGACCAAAGAAUGAUACAAACAAAUAGGAAAAAAAAAUUAGGAAGAUGCAACACUGUUCUAUAGUUUUAUAUUCUAAGCAUGCCAACAAAAUAAAUGUUUAUGUGCAUGUGUAUGUAUCAUAUAUAUUCAAGUACCAAGCAGUACUGAAAAGCUAAUCUCCCAGAAGUUAGGAAAUGCUAGAAUUACAUGUUCUUGCACACCUUUCAUUUGGCCUUUUUGCUUGUAUACACACAGACGUAUGCUAUUUUUUUCACAUACACAUCACACAAAAUGGUGCAGUGUAGGCAGAAAAUUGGCUGGCAGUAUGAUGUAAUCUCUGAAAGAGCUGCUUUGCAGAAGCCUGUUUCUUUUUUGCCCACAACCCAGUUUGGUAUUUUGGAUGUACCCAAGGAAGUUAUCUUAGCAUGUUUCCCAGCAGGUGGGUGCUGCCAAUCUGAGUCUGUAAGAGAGUGUGUCUAAGUGUGCAUUUAAAGCGGGCUUAUUAAUAGAGGGGAGGCGGGGGGCGGGGGGAGCUGUAUCCAAGGUUGCAUCCUCGGCAUUUAAAAAUGUUUCAGUUCAGCCUGUGCUGCCAUUUACUGCAUUAUGUGAUGCAUGUGGAUUUUCCAAACAAAAGAUGUUUAUGAGGAGAGUAUAUUUUAAGAUCCUUUUCAUGACUCCACAGACCCCUCUCCAAGCAGAUGGCCUGACAGUUGCAAGAAAACUAUUCAGAAGCCAAAAGUAGCAUUUAAAAUUCUUUUAAAAAGACGGUUUGUUCUCCAUACACAUCUACAGUGUAAGCAGGGACUAACUCCGCAGCAGCAUCUUCCAGCAUAUUCCAGCUCCGACAGCACAAGCGGAAGACUCACAGGCUGUGAGGUGUGCAGCCUCCCACAGCACCAGCAGCACGGCACAGGACUGCCAUGUCACCUCAGCACCCCGAUCCACUCCCUCUGAGGCUACUUUCAGCGCUGGUUCUUGUGAAGGGGACCAUUAAAAUCCAGACUCCACUCACUGGUAACUUGGAGUAAUACUGGAGGUACAAGAGUUUCUCUUUUACACUCAAAUUAGGUUAUAGCCACAAUGAAAAUGUUUACGUAGCAUUUACAAGUACAUAGAAACAAGCAGGACUAGUGAAGAACUUUCCAAGGACAUGAAUAUAUUUAAUUCCAUUCAUUCAUAGUCAGCCUUGACUGUUACCUAGCUGUAGUUGAAGUUCAUUGGGGAAAAUAACCAGCUGAGAUCAAAAUAACUAAACUUGAGCCACUUGACCAUUACUAGGUUUAUGCAUUCUGGAAGAAAUCUGUUGGCAGUGACUUCACAGAGAUGCAUUUACUGACUCUUUUAAUUGCCUGCUACUGAACCUCCUGCUUGAAGGAAGAGCACUCCCAUAUCAUACACUUGAUAAAUAAAUAAUACCAUCCCUCUGGAGAGAAAAAUUCCAUUUCUAACUAAUCUAAUCACAAGGACAAGGACUAACCAUCCUUGGGGUUUGGGGCGAUUGUUUGUAUUUGCUUUUCCUUAGCCUAAGUAACUGAGUCUUAUUGUUUGUAACAUCUAAUUCAUUUAGAAAUAUUUCUGAAAAUUUUGCCUAAUAGUCUGCAGCAGAGAGUUGCAGAGUUGUUUAUAAACUGCACAAAUGUUUGCAGAAUUUUUCCUUCACCUUUCCAUGCAUAUUUGCUCUUGAGAGAAAACAGAAUAAAUAGCCUCAUCUCUCUGCUUCUGUUAUAUCAUCUUUCACUCUUGUGUUUUGCAAACUAAACAAUGCUAGUCUUUUUAAUCACCUUUUAGAUGGAAGCCUCUUUCCUCAUGUGUUUAAUCAUCUUUUGCUGCACUUUUUUACUGCAGAGGUAACUACAUAUGAGCAUAUUCACCCCCAGAGCACUCAGUAAGUCUACUAAAAUCAAGUUUUAAGGCUUAGCAGAGGUUUUUGUCUUUGCUCCUCAAACAAUCCCUGUUCAUCUCAUUCUAAAAUCACUUUAAGAAACAGAGAUCCCCAGUGCAGGUGCAGAGAUGUGGAAGUUAAGAAGUGAGGAACAGGACAGAGAGGGCUGGAAGACUUCAUCUGGCAUUCAGCAGCGUGGCCACCAGUCCUGACUGGCUGCAGAAGUGAAGGCAGAGAGAGACUGGGACUGGGUAAGAAAUGGUGAAAAGCCUCAAGAAGCAACACACUCUCCAGGUGGGAUUAGCAUCCUCAUGAGGGUACAGUCAUGGCAGUUGUUACUUCUCUUUUGGCCAGACUCUUCUGUCUUCUGUCCUACAGAUUUUCUUUCAUCGCUUUCUGCAUCUGGAAUGCUGUGUGUGUUUCAAAGGCUAAAACUUUUGCAGGGAGAAGCCAGUAUAUUUGUCCUUUAAAGGAAAUGGUCAAGGUGUAUGCAGAUUAUCUGAGGAUCAAGCUCAAAAAUGUUUUAUGUUGGAUUCCCGUCAUCUAAUUUUAGCCUUCUGAAGCUUGAUCAUCUAAUUCAAACUUGUUGCUUAAUGUUCUCAUGCAGUCAGUAGAGAGAGGAGUUGGUUCAUCCUGUCAUAAAACAGGGGUAUGUGAUAAGAGGAAUGGUUUCCUGCUCUGAAAGUACCUCUCUUUCCUUUGGCAGAUUGGAAGAUUGCUUAGGUGUUGAGGUAAGUGAUUCCCUUUAUGGGCUGUAGUGCUGCAUAACUAAAAAAAUUCAGAAGUAUAUGCUCACAGUCCAAACAAUUUUGGUGUGAGGACAAAAGAGCUCUGGGGCACUGGAGGCUCUUUCAGACUCAGGCUUCCUUACAGGAGUGGCUGGAAAGAGCAAAUAGGGGUAGUGCAGUUACCGACCUAUUGCAAAAUAUGCUACACCAAUCAGUAAUUAGAUUUACAUUUACACUGGUGGUAUAUGGUUAUUAACAUACGUGAUAUACAAAUUGGGGCUUGGGGCUGAGGAGAGGGUGAGACUUUUUUUUUUUCCCCUCAGCUAGUUAUAACUUCUCUCUCUAAAGCUCUUAAAAAAUAGUUAAGGCACUGAACUUUCCUUUCGGUCUUAAACUUGAUUCAAAUAUAUCUUGUCCUUGGAAAGUUCUUUGUUAAUCUUGUUUGUAUUUUUUUUUAAGUGCUAUGCAAACAUUUUCAUUGUGGAUUAAUGUGCUAUUUCAAAGCAAUUGCAGUUGAGAUUUUAAGAUUGUUGUUAAUUCAGAGGAGGAAACUUCUGUUACUAUUCCGGUUCUUUGGAAACUAUUUCAUUCAGUGCCCUUUCUGAAGCUUUGCACUAGAGUGCUAAAUGAAUACUAUAAAAGGCCAUAUUAAAGAGGAUUGUAUAUAGUUGACCAGGGUUCAUACCAGGGACUCGUUUUAGAUAGUGUCUUACAUUGAAAAUACGAUUCCUCAAUUAUAGCUCCUAUUGCAAAAAUGAAAUUACCUUGAAUGCUUGGUCUAGUAGGCUUAUUUCUGAGAAUACAAUAGUAAGUGGUCAAAUUCCUCCUCACAGUAAAGCAUAUCUGAUUUUUAAAAAUGAAAUAGAGAGAGAGAUGUGAAAAGCAAAGUCAGUCACAGUAGCCAUCAGAUCAGCAAAAGGACAGCUUACACAAAGACUCUUUCCAUUUGAGUAGCCCCAAUAAUUCCAAGAUAUUCUGAAUGCUUCAAGUAGGAGUGUCUAAACUGCCUAAUGUUCUGCCAACUGAUUCAAGACACUGCAAAGAGGGUCAGAAGGCCAAAGCGAAUAUGCAGAAGCUCUUAAACACAUUCACACUAUUCACAGACAGUAAUCAAAGUGAUUUGCAAAUACAUCUUAAAAAAAUAUAACAUCUUCGAGAUCACAAUCAUAAAAAAUAAUUGAUACAAUUAGGGGACUGUUGCUGCAUUUGGUGUGGCUGCAGCAAUUUACAUUUAAUACAUUUUAAAACUUUUUUUUGUUUUGUUAUUUUCACAAGUCAUAACAUACAUCUGAUGCUUUAGGUGUGACUUCAAAGUGCAUUGGAUCUGACCGUGUGACUUUUCUUAGGACACACCAGGCCUUGGCCAGACGGCUCUGGCUGGCAAUAGUAGCAGGUUCGUCUUGGCAUUUAUUUUGUUGAGUGCCUACUGCUAAUGAAUAUGCACACAACCUCAAGGCUACCUACUGCGGUGUUCCUAAACAAUCUGCUUUUCUAAUUCCAGGAUUACAGCGCUUAAAGGCACAUAAGGAUGAUGAACAUGUGGAAAGGAUCUUAUGUCCUUACAUCCACAGGGAGUUUUGUGCCUCUGUCCUGUUGGCAUUAGUCAUGUAAACCUCUUGUUCAUCUACUUUGGGAAGACUGAUUUGUUCAGCCUUUGGUGUUUUCAGCUGUUUUUGAUGUGCUAGCUGAACUAACUCAAUGAUUGCUUGUGUGUAUGAGAAUUAAUUAUAAAUUUUGACUUUAUAAAGCAGUCUCGUGGACUCAUGCUUCAUUAGUAAUCUGAUCAGUUAGUCACUGCAAUGCAAACUGGCAUCAUUAGCACUGCAGAUACUAUAGCCAGAAGGCAGUGGAUAUUUGUGUGGUACACAAGAUGCAGAGUUUCACUAGUUCCUUGCACUGAAUUCAUAACAUCUCCCCCUUACCAGGGUAGCAUGUGAUGAGAUGAUAGAGCACAAGACUAGACAUUGAGUACCCUACUGAAAACUUGAUUUAUGACAAAGAAUCUGUCACUUUACUUUACUGGGGAAAGCAAACUACGUGGACUGCAGUGGUCUACUUGCUGGGUGUACACCUUGAGACUCCUGUGCACUCACUUUUUCAGAGCCAUAAUAAAACAUUCCAAAAGCUGUUGUUGAAAAGCAUAACCCAAAAGUGAAGUAUUUAUUUUCUUUUUUUUUAACCACUCUCUUUCUUACCUUAUGUGUAAAAUAAUUAAAAUGAUUCUUAGGAAUGCACAAAGCACUUUGAGACCCUGACCCACCACCUGCAGGAAUCUUAUUGUUUGCUAGAAAAGAAUCAUUUUUGUUUUCAAAAAAAAAAAAAGAUGACAAAGAAACAUUUCUUUCCUGUAUGCAUUAGUAAAAAGGAUUAGACAGGCUGUAAUCUUGGUCAGUCUGACUUCUACAAUUAUGGAAAAUUACAAAGAUUGAUGUUCAUUGCAAUUUAUCUUAUUGCAUAAAUUUGUACAGGAUGAAUCUUCUCUUUUGAAAUACAUAUUUCCUAAAACUAGCUUAUAUAUAAAGUGAUUUCUUUUUCUUUCUUUACCCCAUCAGAUUGACAAUAGACUAUGUAGGAAAGUGCUGAAGAACACAAAAAGAAGAAGUUGGAGCAAUUCUAAUUGUCAUGGCAAUAUCCUAGAUUUUUCAAGAAGUUCGGUUCUGUUUAGCUAGUCACUUUAAUUUUCCUUCACUAACUUGUCUCCAUUCUCUGCCACAAUGAUAAUUCUUUAUAUGACUGUCAGCCCUUUGCAUUGUGACAGCUUAAAUUAAUGUUUUGAUAUUUCUCUCUUUGUAAGAAUACAACAAAGAAGACAACUGCCAAGGAUAGGACAGAAACUGUAUGAAUGUAAAACAGACGUUGUGCACCAAUAAAGCCAGAAGGAAUAAUUUUCA
Non-coding RNA from Anas platyrhynchos (mallard), 10524 nucleotides. NCBI's taxonomy places the organism in Eukaryota, Metazoa, Chordata, Aves, Anseriformes, Anatidae. The record is from RefSeq and is a predicted model, not a curated record.